Molecule: ribosomal RNA, 499 nt
Filed under: uncultured bacterium
Lineage: Bacteria
Description: partial 16S ribosomal RNA
Rfam family: Bacterial small subunit ribosomal RNA
Source: RNAcentral
GAUGAACGCUGGCGGCGUGCCUAAUACAUGCAAGUCGAGCGAACAGACGAGAGUGCUUGCACUCUCUGACGUUAGCGGCGGACGGGUGAGUAACACGUGGGUAACCUACCUAUAAGACUGGGAUAACUUCGGGAAACCGGAGCUCAUACCGGAUAAUAUUUAGCUUCGCAUGACGUAAUAGUGAAAGAUGGUUCUUCUGUCACUUACAGAUUGACUCGCGGUGUAUUUGAUAGUUGGUGAGGUAACGGCUCACCAAGGCAACGGUACAUAGCCGGUCUGAGAGGGUGAUCAGCCACACUGGGACUGAGACACGGCCCAGACUCCUACGGGAGGCAGCAGUAGGGAAUCUUCCGCAAUGGACGAAAGUCUGACGGAGCAAUGCCGCGUGAGUGAAGAAGGUUUUCGGAUCGUAAAACUCUGUUGUAAGGGAAGAACAAGUACGUUAGUAACUGAACGUACCUUGACGGUACCUUACCAGAAAGCCACGGCUAACUACGUG